Molecule: ribosomal RNA, 301 nt
Filed under: uncultured bacterium
Lineage: Bacteria
Description: partial 16S ribosomal RNA
Rfam family: Bacterial small subunit ribosomal RNA
Source: RNAcentral
CAGUAGCCGCGGGAAUACAGAGGGUGCGAGCGUUAAUCGGAUUUACUGGGCGUAAAGCGUGCGUAGGCGGCUUCUUAAGUCGGAUGUGAAAUCCCUGAGCUUAACUUAGGAAUUGCAUUCGAUACUGGGAAGCUAGAGUAUGGGAGAGGAUGGUAGAAUUCCAGGUGUAGCGGUGAAAUGCGUAGAGAUCUGGAGGAAUACCGAUGGCGAAGGCAGCCAUCUGGCCUAAUACUGACGCUGAGGUACGAAAGCAUGGGGAGCAAACAGGAUUAGAUACCCGUGUAGUCCCUGUCUCUUAUAA